RNAcentral lists this ribosomal RNA (950 nucleotides) under Bacillus subtilis. RNAcentral's name for it is "bacterial SSU rRNA". It matches the Rfam family "Bacterial small subunit ribosomal RNA", at positions 35 to 967 of the family's 1533-position model. Lineage: Bacteria; Bacillati; Bacillota; Bacilli; Caryophanales; Bacillaceae. The record is from RNAcentral.
GCAGGGCGGCAUGCUAUACAUGCAAGUCGAGCGGACAGAUGGGAGCUUGCUCCCUGAUGUUAGCGGCGGACGGGUGAGUAACACGUGGGUAACCUGCCUGUAAGACUGGGAUAACUCCGGGAAACCGGGGCUAAUACCGGAUGGUUGUUUGAACCGCAUGGUUCAAACAUAAAAGGUGGCUUCGGCUACCACUUACAGAUGGACCCGCGGCGCAUUAGCUAGUUGGUGAGGUAACGGCUCACCAAGGCAACGAUGCGUAGCCGACCUGAGAGGGUGAUCGGCCACACUGGGACUGAGACACGGCCCAGACUCCUACGGGAGGCAGCAGUAGGGAAUCUUCCGCAAUGGACGAAAGUCUGACGGAGCAACGCCGCGUGAGUGAUGAAGGUUUUCGGAUCGUAAAGCUCUGUUGUUAGGGAAGAACAAGUACCGUUCGAAUAGGGCGGUACCUUGACGGUACCUAACCAGAAAGCCACGGCUAACUACGUGCCAGCAGCCGCGGUAAUACGUAGGUGGCAAGCGUUGUCCGGAAUUAUUGGGCGUAAAGGGCUCGCAGGCGGUUUCUUAAGUCUGAUGUGAAAGCCCCCGGCUCAACCGGGGAGGGUCAUUGGAAACUGGGGAACUUGAGUGCAGAAGAGGAGAGUGGAAUUCCACGUGUAGCGGUGAAAUGCGUAGAGAUGUGGAGGAACACCAGUGGCGAAGGCGACUCUCUGGUCUGUAACUGACGCUGAGGAGCGAAAGCGUGGGGAGCGAACAGGAUUAGAUACCCUGGUAGUCCACGCCGUAAACGAUGAGUGCUAAGUGUUAGGGGGUUUCCGCCCCUUAGUGCUGCAGCUAACGCAUUAAGCACUCCGCCUGGGGAGUACGGUCGCGAGACUGAAACUCAAAGGAAUUGACAGGGGCCCGCACAAGCGGUGCAGCAUGUGGUUUAAUUCGAAGCAACGCGAAGA